RNAcentral lists this ribosomal RNA (497 nucleotides) under uncultured bacterium. RNAcentral's name for it is "partial 16S ribosomal RNA". It matches the Rfam family "Bacterial small subunit ribosomal RNA", at positions 28 to 507 of the family's 1533-position model. The record is from RNAcentral.
GAUGAACGCUGGCGGCGUGCCUAAUACAUGCAAGUCGAGCGAACAGACGAGGAGCUUGCUCCUCUGACGUUAGCGGCGGACGGGUGAGUAACACGUGGAUAACCUACCUAUAAGACUGGGAUAACUUCGGGAAACCGGAGCUAAUACCGGAUAAUAUAUUGAACCGCAUGGUUCAAUAGUUAAAGACGGUUUUGCUGUCACUUAUAGAUGGAUCCGCGCCGCAUUAGCUAGUUGGUAAGGUAACGGCUUACCAAGGCAACGAUGCGUAGCCGACCUGAGAGGAUGAUCGGCCACACUGGAACUGAGACACGGUCCAGACUCCUACGGGAGGCAGCAGUAGGGAAUCUUCCGCAAUGGGCGAAAGCCUGACGGAGCAACGCCGCGUGAAUGAUGAAGGUCUUCGGAUCGUAAAACUCUGUUAGUAGGGAAGAACAAAUGUGUAAGUAACUAUGCACGUCUUGACGGUACCUAAUCAGAAAGCCACGGCUAACUACGUG